GAUCAUGGCUCAGGACGAACGCUGGCGGCGUGCCCAAUACAUGCAAGUAGAACGCUGAAGGAGGAGCUUGCUUCUCCGGAUGAGUUGCGAACGGGUGAGUAACGCGUAGGUAACCUGCCUGGUAGCGGGGGAUAACUAUUGGAAACGAUAGCUAAUACCGCAUAAGAGUAGAUGUUGCAUGACAUUUGCUUAGAAGGUGCAAUUGCAUCACUACCAGAUGG
This 221-nucleotide ribosomal RNA is filed under the name uncultured bacterium. RNAcentral describes it as "partial 16S ribosomal RNA". It matches the Rfam family "Bacterial small subunit ribosomal RNA", at positions 15 to 228 of the family's 1533-position model. The record is from RNAcentral.